Molecule: ribosomal RNA, 239 nt
Filed under: uncultured bacterium
Lineage: Bacteria
Description: partial 16S ribosomal RNA
Rfam family: Bacterial small subunit ribosomal RNA
Source: RNAcentral
GAUCAUAGCUCAGGAUGAACGCUAGCUACAGGCUUAACACAUGCAAGUCGAGGGCAGCAUGGACUCAGCUUCGCUGAGUUUGAUGGCGACCGGCGCACGGGUGAGUAACGCGUAUCCAACCUGCCCUUUACUCCGGGAUAGUCUCCUGAAAGGGAGUUUAAUACCGGAUGUGUUUGUCUUUCCGCAUGGGAGCGACAAAUAAAGAUUGAUUGGUAAAGGAUGGGGAUGCGUCCCAUUAG